GAUGAACGCUGGCGGCGUGCCUAAUACAUGCAAGUCGAGCGAACAGACGAGGAGCUUGCUCCUCUGGCGUUAGCGGCGGACGGGUGAGUAACACGUGGAUAACCUACCUAUAAGACUGGGAUAACUUCGGGAAACCGGAGCUAAUACCGGAUAAUAUAUUGAACCGCAUGGUUCAAUAGUGAAAGACGGUUUUGCUGUCACUUAUAGAUGGAUCCGCGCCGCAUUAGCUAGUUGGUAAGGUAACGGCUUACCAAGGCAACGAUGCAUAGCCGACCUGAGAGGGUGAUCGGCCACACUGGAACUGAGACACGGUCCAGACUCCUACGGGAGGCAGCAGUAAGGAAUCUUCCGCAAUGGGCGAAAGCCUGACGGAGCAACGCCGCGUGAGUGAUGAAGGUCUUCGGAUCGUAAAACUCUGUUAUUAGGGAAGAACAAAUGUGUAAGUAACUAUGCACGUCUUGACGGUACCUAAUCAGAAAGCCACGGCUAACUACGUG
This 497-nucleotide ribosomal RNA is filed under the name uncultured bacterium. RNAcentral's name for it is "partial 16S ribosomal RNA". It matches the Rfam family "Bacterial small subunit ribosomal RNA", at positions 28 to 507 of the family's 1533-position model. The record is from RNAcentral.